Molecule: ribosomal RNA, 528 nt
Filed under: Nesolestes nigeriensis
Lineage: Eukaryota; Metazoa; Arthropoda; Insecta; Odonata; Argiolestidae
Description: partial 16S ribosomal RNA
Rfam family: Bacterial large subunit ribosomal RNA
Source: RNAcentral
GUCCUCUCGUUUAUAUGGGAGGUCAGACCUGCCCGGUGAAAUUUUUUAACGGCCGCGGUAUUUUGACCGUGCAAAGGUAGCAUAAUCAUUAGUCUUUUAAUAGGAGGCUGGAAUGAAAGGUUUGACGAAAUAGUUACUGUCUCAUUUAUAUGAAUUUGAAUUUAAUUUUUAAGUUAAAAAGCUUAAAUUUUGUUGGAAGACGAGAAGACCCUAUAGAGCUUUAUAUUUAACUGUUAGAUUUUUAUUGUUAAUAAUGAUAUCUUUUAUUUAUUUAUUUUGUUGGGGUGACAAGGAAUAUAUUUAUAACUUUCAUUAUUUUUAUUACAUUUAUUUAUGAUUAUUAGAUCCAUUAUUAUUGAUUAUUAGAAUAAGUUACCUUAGGGAUAACAGCGUAAUCCUCUUUAGGAGUUCAAAUUUACAAGAGGGCUUGCGACCUCGAUGUUGGAUUAAGAUAAUAAUUAGGUGCAGUAGCUUAAUUAAUAGGUCUGUUCGACCUUUAAAUUCUUACAUGAUCUGAGUUCAGACCGG